RNAcentral lists this long non-coding RNA (1450 nucleotides) under Triticum aestivum (bread wheat). Its description in RNAcentral is "long non-coding RNA (TAES_LNC023466)". The record is from RNAcentral. Lineage: Eukaryota; Viridiplantae; Streptophyta; Magnoliopsida; Poales; Poaceae.
UAAAAAUCGACACAUAGUAGAAACAAUGUACAACAUUAUUUCCUAGUGAAGAAGCUUUGAUCAUUCAUCUUUAAUUUUGUAAUUGGAUAAUGGAAUAGACGACACUCAUUCAUCAAGAGCACACAUCACAGAAAGAAAGAAAAUAUUAAUGAGUGUCAUGCAAUGCAUGCAGGUAGAUUUAAAAGUCAACCGAAUCUCGACUUAAUUGUUCCACCGUGCUUGUUUUCUGAAAUAGAAUUCACUGUUGCAUCUCAUGCCUAAGUCUCGGUUGAUGCCAAAAAUACUUGUCACAUGGCUCUCAACAUAAUGCCCUGAACAAUGGAGCAAUACUACCAAGGCAUAACGAAUGCUCCAGAACUUCAUUGUGUAGCAGCAGAGCAAACAUAUAAUCUACAUCAAACAUAAAGAGUAGAGGUCAGAGUAUGUUAAGUUCUUAUUAUAAAAUAAACCUGUUUAAAUCCUCAUAAUGAAACUACAUGAGUAAAAGCUUGAGAAAAAAAGUGAUCACUUGUUGGAAAUUAAAUAUCGAGCCAAACAAAGCUAGUACAACUAAAACGACACAUUGGGAAGAGGAAUAAAAGUAAGAUGGGUCACUACGGUAAUGUUAGUUAUUAGUUCUACUUUUCACUGACUUUAUCAUAUAAAAGGAAAGGAACACACACAGAUUGCAUCUACAAUAUUAUCUAACUUGAGAAAUAUAAACUCUUAAUGCCGCCUCUUUGGUAAGGAAUAGGAGGGAUUCUAUUCAGAUAUUAGUUGAAAAAUCGAAAGAAUAUGCCAAGAAAAAUAGACAGCAUGAUUCAACUAACAAUUUCUUCUAUUUCGUUUCUUGGACCUUUUUUCAUAAAUGGAUUAUUUUUGGAUGAGAAUGGAGAGCAAUGUGUCUCUUGAUCUUCAUCACCACAUUCGGCUAAUGCCUGAAAGAUGAGCCAAUUAAGAACACAACAAACACUUUAUUUUCUCCCAAAGUGUUUUUGCUAAAUCAUGACAUCAUUAAUUAUAUCCGGGGAAAACUGUAAAAGUAAUUGAGAGGGAAUAAUAAUAUGUUAAUGCGAACUGGAAGGUUGCAAUUUGCAAGAAGGAAUGCCACACCUCCGGCUGCAGCAUAAAGAAUGAGGAUUGUAAGCAAGAUAUAAAAAUAUAAUAUGAGAUAAAUAGGUACAGCACAAACUGAGUCUUGACGAUAUCCAUUGACUUGUUAACGAUGGUGACCGCGCACUCGCUAGAACCUAUUAAUCCGUGAACAGUAGCAAAAAUCAUGAUGUCCCACCAAGAACGAAAUCAAUCAAUCCUGAUGCAUAAGAAGCAAACAAACCAGGCAAGCAAGAAACUUCCCGUGCAUACUAUAGCUAAGAAUUAUCAGGUCAAAGCAAAUUGCCAAGGAAAAUAACUUACCAGCCAUGUGAUAUGUCAUCUUGUAUCCGAUGUCACUUGACAUGGAAGAGAGGCC